ACAAAUCUGAAGACGAGAAAGAGUAAAAUAUUGUACUGUUCCCCAGAGAGUCGGCGUUAUGCUGAAAGCCGAUGUACAGACUUUAUUUGAAAAUCAUCUCCGAGGAUCCGUGGCUGAAUAAAGUAAGCUCGGACGGAUGUCUACCGUUACAAAGAUCGCGUAUGUUAGUACGUUGCUAAGUGCUAUUGGUGAAGAUGCUAAUAGAAUUAGGGUGGUAACGCGGGUAAACCCGUCCCUAUU
Molecule: non-coding RNA, 240 nt
Organism: Bacillus cereus Rock3-44
Lineage: Bacteria; Bacillati; Bacillota; Bacilli; Caryophanales; Bacillaceae
Source: Rfam